CAGCCCAAAGGUCUUCUGUCGUUUCUUUCUCUCCUUCCGUUCAUGUGUUUCACUUUACCUUUCUCCAUUUUCUGCUUUAGGGCUUCUGCUUUCCUCGGUCAUCGUCGUUGUGUGCCUUCAUUUCUCUCGAUUUCUUCCUUUUUGUUUCGCAAUUUUAUCUCCAGCGAGACACGAUCUUUGAUUUUUUGCAAUCAUUGUUCGCUGUUCUUCUCUGUUUUUGGCUGCGAUCUGUGUGUUGCAUCGAUUUUGUCUUUUUCGCCGUUUUGUUUCAAGCCUCUCUUUUGAGAGGAUCAGUGCAUAUUAAGAUUUUCGCUCCAAUUUGGGUGAUCUCUCUUCUGAGAGAAUCGGUGCAUGUUGAGCUUUUCCAAAUGCACAGAGCCUUUUAAAAAUACUGCUACCCUCUACAAAACAAGCCAGUAAAGCUCAAAUAUUGCAGACAGCAAAGAAGGUAACAAUUGAAGAGUUGGCUUUUUUAGAUCCAAAUUUGUACAAGAACGAAACCUUUCUCUGCAAAGAAUCUGUCAAGCAGUUUGACGCACACUACGAUUGGUGGUACAAUGCUUGCCUAAACUGUGCCAAACAAAUGCACAAAGAUCGAACAAUUGGGCAAUUGAUUUGUCAAAAACAUGCAGACCAGCUACCAACUCCUUGGGGAGAAAACAUUCAAUGGAAUAAUUUCUUAGAUGUAUUGCCACAUCCCCAAGGAUUAGGUCCACUUUUUACAGGUACAAACUAAACUUGGUCCUUGAGGACGAAACCAGUGAAAUGAAUGCUUUAAUUAUUGGCAAAUCUGGUGAGAAGCUUUUGGGCACAACCUGCAGACAUUUAGUUCGGGUUUACUCACAUACUCUGGGGGCGAUUUCUAAAGUAUAUAGAGGCAAAGCUUUCUCCAAGACCCUCCAUAUGCAAUAUUCUUUGACAUGGGUAUUUCCUUUGUUUUGGUUUCUUCUCUCUCCAUAUCUCUCCUCAACUGCAUGGAUGACAAGAGGAAGUACAAAGGGAUGCAUUUGGCUCCCACUUUUGAGGUUCCUCCCAUGAGCAGGCACCCAAAAACUGGCGACUGAAAUAUUUUCAUCAUGUGUUGAAGCAACAAAAAGACUACGCAGUUGCAUCGUGAAGUACACAGCUCACUUCUCCUAUUAAAUGUACCCCAUUGUUCAGAUCCUUGGCAGCAGGAAUUCCCAGCCCAAAAUUUUCUGAAAGUGUGAAAAUUUGAUGUCAUCUUCAACUUUCCUCAUCCAAGCCAUUACUCUAGCCUACGCGAAAAGGACUUUGAGCUUAUUGAAUAAGUGAAACCAUUAAGCUACUUUUACUUGUGAAGCUUGUCGUUGCCUCUUCCCGCAUGUUGUACGAUUAUGACCUUUCUUGCCACACAUUCCACAAGUGACCUUGCUGAAGCAUUUAGGCAAUUUGUUUAAGGUUGAUGGUGGUUGUGGCUCAUCUUGCUUUCUUCCCCUCACCUUCUUUGGCCUACCAGCUUGCUUAUGAUACUUUGGAGGUGCAACGGGUUGGUGAUUUGUAGGUGGCCAAAAUUCUCGGCUAGGCAUGGCAUGGAUAUAAGGAGUGUAGGCUCUCAAGGAAUUCCAGUGAGCAUACUUGUAUGGAUCGUCCUCUCUAUAGAUUGUGGCAACUCCAUGAGCACAAGGAAUUCCAGUGAGAUCCCACCUUCUACAUGUACAUGUGUGUUUUGCUAAAUCAACCGCAUAUUGUGCUCCACUCAUAUGCUUCACUUGAUACUCCUUAUCACCAGACAAUCAAGCAAUACAUGAACCACUUUCUAAUUUAUUUAUUUUCAACCAAUUUAAAUAUUCUAGGGCCAACCUCAUUUUUCCACUUACCUGCUGCUUCUCUCAUUCUUGCCACUCUGACCAUUAGUUAUGUUGUAAUCCUCUCCACCAUAGUUAAUAUUGGUUUAUCUCUUGCUCCCAAUAUUGCACUAUUAAAAGACUCACAUAGAUUAUUCAACAAGAUAUCACAAUUAGAUGAUGUCCUAAAAUAAGAUCUGCUUCAAUGACAUGCUGGUUUGUCAUCAAACCAACUUAUAGCCAAUCCAUCUUCAACUUCCAUCUUAGUCAUCUCUGCUUUAAAUCCUGGAAUGCUGACCAAAGAAUUUGUUUCAAUGCAAUGCCAACGUGUGUUUUCUUGAAAUUGUUAUAUAAGCGUCGAACACAAUGUACAUGUUCAGCAGUUGGAAUAAGGUCCUUCACAGCUUUUAUUAACCCCUUUUGUUUGUCUGGCGUAAAGACCCAAGCAUGCCCAUUUUCAAUACCCAAAUCAGUGAUGAGUAGCUCGAGAAACCAAGUCCAAGUUCUUCUAUCUUCAAUUUCAACAAUUGCAUAUGCUACUGGAUACAUGCCAUUGUUGGCAUCUAUACCAAUGGCAGCAAGCAAUUGGCCUGGAUGUGGACCUUUAAUGUGGCAUCCAUCCAAUCCCACCACUGGCCUACAACCUUCCAAAAAGCCUCUUUUCAAUGCUGCAAAGCAUACAUACAACCUCUGAAACCUAGGCCUUCCUCCUUCCAUUUCAGUCUUCACCAAAAUUGUACUCACAGGAUUUCUUCGCUUGAGCUCCUCACAAUGAUCCCAUAACCUUGCAUAUUGCUCCACAUAAGCCCCUUCACUCUUCUCAGCUGUUAAUGACCGUGCUUUAUAAAGUUGAGCCGGUGUUACGUGCAACUUGUAUUGUUUAUGAACAGUUUGUUGAAAUUUUGACACUUCCCAUUUAGGAUUGUCAAGCAAAUCCUCAGCAUACCUAUGUGAUAACCAAGUUGAGGUGCAUAGUCUGAGCUUUUCCUUUCUCGGGCAUGUAUGGACAUCAUUGAGUGUUUUCAUUAUAAGUGCAGAGCUCUGAUCUAUUUUGCUUGCAUAAAUCACCCAUGGACAUCCCUCAUUUGUACACAUACCCUGAACUUCAUAACGCUCUCUUAUUGGGAAUCUUAUUUGUCCUCCAUUCACACAACCAUAAAUGUCACUGCUUGUUUGAACUCCUUUCUAUUGGAAAAUAUCAUUCCAGUUCUAAAUUGUGGGUUCUUGAUAUCCAAAUCACUUCUAAAAGGAAUGAGUUUAGGCAUUUUAUUCUUACUUUUCCACUUCACUGGUUGUUCACCUUCAUAUGAUGAGCUAGAACCACUUCUAAAGCCAUCAGAAUCUUCGUAGUCUGUUUCAACAUCUCCAAAUCCUAAA
Molecule: non-coding RNA, 3182 nt
Organism: Malus domestica (apple)
Lineage: Eukaryota; Viridiplantae; Streptophyta; Magnoliopsida; Rosales; Rosaceae
Source: RefSeq, a predicted model, not a curated record